Molecule: long non-coding RNA, 204 nt
Organism: Thunnus maccoyii (southern bluefin tuna)
Lineage: Eukaryota; Metazoa; Chordata; Actinopteri; Scombriformes; Scombridae
Exons: 3
Source: RefSeq, a predicted model, not a curated record
AUCAGGCAGUAGGAGCAGAGGAAGAAGUUGGAGAUGAUGGGAGCGAUGGUGUUCAACUCAGCUGGAGGAGAGGAAAGACAGAAGAGGGAGAAACUGCUUGUUUGUUUGCAAGGUGACCCACUGUUAAUCAAUGAAAGUCAAAUGAAGCUCUUUGAACUAACGGCAGCAUGAGGCAACUUUAGCUGUUGUGACCUCGAGUGGCAA